Molecule: transfer RNA, 74 nt
Filed under: Camelus bactrianus (Bactrian camel)
Lineage: Eukaryota; Metazoa; Chordata; Mammalia; Artiodactyla; Camelidae
Also listed under: 2 other names
Rfam family: tRNA
About the family: Transfer RNA (tRNA) molecules are approximately 80 nucleotides in length.
Source: Rfam by way of RNAcentral
AGAGGUAUGGCUCAGUGGUAGAGCAUAUAUACUUAGCAUGCAUGAGGUCCCGGGUUCAGUCCCCAGUACCUCCU